RNAcentral lists this long non-coding RNA (6459 nucleotides) under Marmota monax (woodchuck). Lineage: Eukaryota; Metazoa; Chordata; Mammalia; Rodentia; Sciuridae. The record is from RNAcentral.
UAUAUAUAUAUAUAUAUAUAUCACAGUUUCUUUAUCCAUUCAUUUAUUGAAGGGCAUCUAGGUUGCUUCCACGGUUUAGCUAUUGUGGAUUGAGCUGCUAUGAACAUUGAUACUCCUACGUUACUAUAGUAUGCUGAUUUUAAGUCCUUUGGGUUUAGACCCUGGAGUGGGAUAGCUGGGUCAAAUGGUGGUUCCAUUCCAAGUUUUCUAAGGAAUCUACAUACUGUUUUCCAUAUUGGUUGCACCAAUUUGCAGUCCCACCAGCAAUUUAUGAGUGUGCCUUUUCCCCCACAUCCUCACCAAUACUUACUGUUGUUUGUAUUCUUGGUAACUGCCUUUCUGACAGGAAUGAGAUGAAAUCUUAGAGUAGUUUUGAUUUGCAUUUCUCUAAUUACUAGAGAUGUUGAACACUUUUUCAUAUAUUUGUUGAUUGUGUAUCUUCUGUGUAGUGUCUGUUCAGCUCCUUAGCCCUUAUAUUGAUCGUGUUGUUUGUUUUUUGGGUGUUAAGUUUUUUGAGUUCUUUAUAUAUCCUAGAGAUAUGUGCUCUAUCUGAUAUGCGUAUGGCACAAAUUUACUCCCAAAAUGUAGGCUCUCUGUUCACUUCAAUGAUUGUUUCUUUUGCUGAGAAGAAGCUUUUUAGUUUGAAUCCAUCCCAUUUCUUGAUUUCUUGAUUUUAUUUCUUGCACUUUAGGAGUCUUGUUAAGGAAAUCGAGGCCUAAUCUGAUGUGAUGAAGAUUUGGGCCUAGUUCUUCCUCUGUUAGGCGCAGGGUCUCUGGGCUAAUUCCUAGGUCCUUGAUCCACUUUGAGCUGAGUUUUGUGCAUGGUGAGAGAGAGGGGGUUUAGUUUCAUUUUGCUGCAUAUGGGUUUUUAGUUCUCCCAGCACCAUUUGUUGUUUUUGGUGCCUUUGUCUAGUAUGAGAUGACUAUAUUUAUGUGGGUUUGCCUCUGUGUCCUCUAUUCUGUACCCUUGGUCUACAUGUCUGUUUUGGUGCCGAUGCUGAUUCUGUUACUAUAGCUCUGUAGUAUAGUUUAAGGUCUGGUAUUGUGAUGCUUCCUGCUUCACUUUUCUUGCUAAGGAUUGCUUUGGCUAUUCUGGGUCUCUUAUUUUUCCAAAUAAAUUUCUUGAAUGCUUUUUCUAUUUCUAUAAGGAAUGACGUUGGGAUUUUAAUUGGAAUCGCAAUGACUCUGUAUAGUGCUUUGGGUAGUAUAGCCAUUUUGACAAUGUUAAUUCUGCCUACUCAGGAGCAUGGGAGAUCUUUUCAUCUUUCAAGGCUUCUUCUAUUUAUUUCUUUAAUGUUCUGUAGUUUUCUUUGUAGAGGUCUUUAACCUCAUUUGUUUAUAUUUUAUUUUUUGUGAAGCUAUUGUGAAUGGGGUAGUUUUCCUAAUUUCUCUUUCAGAGGAUUCAUCACUGAUGUAUAAAAAUGCUUUUGAUUUAUGGGUUUUGAUUUUAUAUCCUGAUACUUUGCUGAAUUCAUUUAUUCUAGAAGUUUAGUGGUGGAGUUUUUUGGAUUCUCUAAGUAUAGAAUCAUGUCGUCUACAAAUAAUGAUAGUUUGAGUUCUUUUCCUAUUCAUGCCCCUUUAAUUUCUUUUGUCUAAUUGGUCUUGCUAGAGUUUCAAGGACUGUGUUGAGUAGAAGUGGUAAAAGAGGGCAUCCCUGUCUUGUUGCAGUUUUUAAAGGGAAUGCUUCCAGUUUUUCUCCAUUUAGAAUAAAGCUGGCCUUGGGUUUAGCUACUUGUUAAAUUUGGUUUCCUCAUGUUUUCCCUGAGUUAUUUUAUAUUCUUUUAUUUCCAAUAUUUCUAUUUGGUUCUUUUAAAAUAUUUCUAACUCCUUAUUGAAUUUCUUAUUCAUAGCUUUUAUGAUGUUGAGAAUGUUCCUAGUAUCCCUAGAUUUUCUAGUGUUUUGAACGUGAAACGGUGCUGUAUUUUGUCAGAUGCUUUCUCUGAAUCAAUUGAUGUAAUCAAAUGAUCCUGUAAGUUUAUUGAUGUAAUGAAUUAUGUUUAUUGAUUUCCGUAUGUUGAAUCCUUGCAUUCCUGUAAUGAACCCAACUUGAUCAUGGCGCACUAUUUUUUUUAAUAUGUUUUUGUAUGCGAUUUGCCAGAAUUUGUUGAAAAUUUUUGUAUCUAUGUUCAUCAGGGAUAUUGGUCUGAAAUUUUCUUUCCUUGAUGUGUCUGUGCCUAGUAUCAUCUAUCAGGAUGAUACUAGCCUCAUACAAUUAGUUUAGAAGAGUUCUCUCCUUUUCUAUUUCAUGGAAUAAUUUGAGGAGUAUUGGUAUUAAUUCUUUUUUGUAGGUCUUGUAAACUCAGCUGUGUAUCUGUCUGGUCCCAGGCUUUUCUUGGUUGGUAGGCUUUUGAUGGUGUCUUCUAUUUCCUUGCUUGACAUUGAUCUGUUUAAAUUGUGUAUGUCUUCCUGACUCAGUUUGGGUUGAUCAUGUGCCUAUAGAAAUUCUUGUAAGAUUGUUCCCUUACUGGUAUGAAAUGACAUUCUUUGUCUCUUCUGAUUUUUUUGUUUGAAGUCUCCUUUGUCACAUAUCAGAGUAGCAACUCCUGUUUGUUUUGGGGUUCCAUUUGCAUGGUAUUUCAGUUUAUACGUUUUCACUUUCAACCUGUGGUUGUCUUUGCCUGUAAGGUGCAUCUCUUGCAAACAUCGUAUAGUUGAGUCUUGUUUUAUAAUCCAUUUCUGCCAUCCUAUGUCUUAUCUUAAUUGGAGAGUUGAGACAAUUACAGGGAGAUAUUUAUUAAUUCCUACUGUGUUGAUUUGUUUAUCAUAUUUAAUUUGAUCAUGUUUCUCAUUUAUUAGCUAUUUUUCAAAUUAGCUUUGUUCAUUUUUGAACCCCAGGGUUCGUUUUUCAUUUCUUCUGUGUGGAGUAUUUUAUUAGGUUCUGUGGUGCUGGUUUAGUUGUCAUGAAUUCUUUUGGUUUCUGCUUAUCUUGGAAGGCUAUUAUUUUGCCUUCGAUUUUGAAGGAUAACUUUGCUAGAUAUAGCAGUCUUGGUUGACAAUUCUUUUCUUUCACGACUUGGAACACAUCAUUCUAAGUCCUUUGGCUUUUGGAGUUCAUGCUGAGAAGCUGGAAGUGAUUCUGAUAGACUUGCCUCUAUAUAUGACCUGUUUUUUACUCUUGAGGCUUUUAAAAUUCUGUCCUUGUUCUGUGCGCUAGGUAUUUUAAUUGUAAUGUUUCAUGGAGAGGUUCUUUUUAGAUCUUGUCUAUUUGGGGUUCUGAAUGCCUCUUGUAUCUUGAUGUCCAUCUUAUUCUCAAGAUUUGGAAAUUUUUCUAUUGUUAUUUCCCUGAAUAGGUUAUCAGUUUGUUUAUUCUGCAUCUUACAACCCUUCUCCAUGCCAGUGAUUUUUAAAUUUGGUUUCCUCAUGUUGUCCCUGAGUUAUUUUAUAUUCUGAUUGUACUUACUUAUUUCUUUUUUCUUUAUGCUGUCUGAAUGUUCAAGACUGGCCACUUUGUCUUCUAACUCUUGAGAAUCUGUCUUUAGCAUGGUCUACUCUAUUAGACUUUCAACUGAACAUUUUAUUUGAUUUAUAGUGACUUUUAUUUCCAAUAUUUCUAUUUGGUUCUUUUAAAAUAUUUCUAACUCCUUAUUGAAUUUCUUAUUCAUACCCCAUACUCACUUUUUCAAUGCAUUCAGUUAUUUUUCUAUGUUCUCUUGGAAUUCAUUCGUCAUUUUUAUAAUGAUUAUUUUAAAUACCUUAUCUGAUAUUUCAUCACCUUCAAUAUCUUCAUGGUCAGUGCUGGUGAAUUAUGAACUUUAGGAUGUGUCAUGUUACCUUGGUUUUUCAUAUUUCUUGUAUUUCUGUGUUGAGUUUUAUUCUUCUCUUGGAUGGUAUUUCUCUUCCACCCUUAUGGGCCAUUUUAGGGUAUAUUCUUUAGUUGCCAAAGUAUCCUAGAGUGAUCUAGAUUGAGACCUCUUAGUAGGUGUGGUAUCCAUAGCCUUUGCAUUAUUUCUGUAUUUUUGCUGUAGCAAUGGAUGUCCAUAGGUGGGACCUGGGGGCUCAGCCAUAGUUGUUUCUGCUUGGGGCCUGGUUGUUAGUUUUGGUCUCUGUCUCUUCUAUUCUUUGUAUUAAAGGAUGCUGAAGAUUGUCAUUAAUUUGUGUAGGGAGCAAGGUGCACUGUCUUUUGAUUCAAUUGAAUUCAGUAUCAGAAUUUCUACUCUGUGAACUUGUACUGCCCUGUGAGGUUCCCAGCACCUCACAGAAUAGAGCAAAAGUAACAAUAGCAACAACCAAUGUGAAUGAUAUAUAGCAUUAAAAUAAAUAGCCAGUCCCUACUAUGACAGCUACAACACUAAUUACCCCCCCCCACACACACACACACACAAACACAAACCAAGGAUGGCAGAGUCAGCAAUUGUCAACAGUAAAGACAACAACCAUGAACUAGAUCUGACUUUAAAGCAAACAUCAGGUGUCAAUUAUGUAAUCCACAGCAGUAAUAAUUGUAUUGACACUAAUGGUUGGGGAAGGAGUUAUAUAAAUCAGUUCUAAAAGAUGGUUAAAAUAUAGUUAACUAAGAGAAAAGAAAAUGUUAGGAAGAUAGAAAAUAAUUUGCAGUUUCAAAAAAUGAACAGAAACAAGGCAGAAGAGAUGUAGCAGGUGAUGGUUGCAAGGAAGAAAAAGACAAAUAGAAACAAAGUGAAGGGGGAGAGUGAGUGAGUGAGUGAGUGAGAGAGACAGAGAGAGAGUGAGUGAGAGAGAGAGAGAGAACAAGAACAAUAGAAUUAGGCUGUUAGCAGGGGAAGAAAAGAGAGAAAGAGCCAUAAAACAAACAAAUGAAAUCUAAACAAGACAAAACCCCAAAGCAUACAAACCAACCCCCCCUUAUCCUCAAAGGACAAGGCAAGAAAUAAUAGGUACAUUUAAAAAUGGUAAAAAUGAAAAAAGAAACAAAUAAGUAUAUAUGUCCCUAACCCAGUCAGCACAGCAAGAACACACACAGACAGCAAAGAAGAAAGGAAUGAAGGUAAAGGAAAUUAUUCUUUUAUUUAUUUAUUUUUUAGUUAUAGUUAAACACAAUACCUUUAUUUUAUUUAUUUAUUUAUAUGUGGUGCUGAGGACCAAUCCCAGGGCUCGCACGUGCUAGGCAAGUGUUCUACCACUGAGCCACAACCCCAGCCUGAAAGGAAAUUAUUCUUAAUGAAAAAUGAGAGAAUCAUCUCCACUGAUGUGAUCAGAAUAGUCAAUGAGAAUGGAUGGUCACUGCCUAUGUCCAACUCUUUUUCUUUCUGUUUCUUUUUGAGCUAUUUACUGAGAACCAAAGUAAGGUCUGGGGGUUGUUAACCUCUUUCUCUUUUGAUGUUGCUCUCUGAUCUGUCAGUUGGAGUAGCCUCAGACUGAAUCUGGUUGAAAUAAGUCUCACUUCCCUUCUUAUCAGCAUGAGGUAGGAUGGGAUGGGAAUUACUAUCAGGUGGAGUUUUGUCCUCACAGACAGAUCAGUGCAUUCCCAGGGUGGGCCUACUGUAGAGUUCUAUGAGUAAGGUGGGCUUUAGUUUAAUCAGGCCUCAGGAGCUUGGUUGGGGGGUGUCUCCUCUGGAGAGAUUAAACAACACACCCCUAGGGCCUGGCAGUUACAGAUCUCUAUUGGGGGUCUAGAUCUCAGAAACCUCCCAGGAAUUCACUGAGGACAAGAGAGCCAAUCCUCCACACAUUCUGCUGCUGGGGACCAGCCAUCACAGGCUAGUCCCUGAUUAUAUUCACACCCACCUGUUCAGAUUCCAGACUCACUUGAGCUUGUUAUAUGAGCUGACAGACUCACAGAAAAAGUGAGUAGGGCUCCCUUUCACUUUUCCAACUCAAAUCCCCCAGGGUACAAUCUUCUCUGUGCCUGUUUCACUCACCUUCUGCUAUGUACUUCCUAGGCUACGUGAUAUGUAGGCACUGUAAGGUCAGGCAGUGGUGACCAAAAAAAGGCAGAUUUAAAAGGCUGCUGAUUUGGUGCCAGUACCAUGCUGUUUUUGUUACUAUUGCUCUGUAGUAUAGUUUAAGGUCUGGUAUAGCGAUACCACCUGUUUCACUCUUCCUGCUUAGAAUUGCUUUAGCUAUUCUGGGUCUCUUCAAAUUAGUACAGCCAAUUUGGAAAGCAGAAUGGAGAUUCCUUGGAAAGCUGGGAAUGGAACCACCAUUUGACCCGGCUAUUCCUCUUCUCGGACUAUACCCAAAGGACCUAAAAACAGCUUACUACAGGGACACAGCCACAUCAAUGUUAAUAGCAAUACAAUUCACAAUAGCUAAACUGUGGAGCCAACCUAGAUGUCCUUCAGUGGAUGAAUGGAUAAAAAAAAUGUGGCAUUUAUACACAAUGGAAUAUUACUUAGCACUAAAAAAGAAUAAGAUCAUGGCAUUUGCAGGGAAAUGGAUGGCAUUAGAGAAGAUUAUGCUAGGUGAAGUUAGCCAAUCCCAAAAAAACAAAUGCCGAAUGUUUUCUCUGAUAUAAGCGGGGUGACUCAAAGUGGGGUAGGGA